GAUGAAGAACGUAGCGAAAUGCGAUAAGUAAUGUGAAUUGCAGAAUUCAGUGAAUCAUCGAAUCUUUGAACGCACCUUGCGCUCCUUGGUAUUCCUUGGAGCAUGCCUGUUUGAGUAUCAUGAGCAAAUCUCAAAGUCGAUCCUUUUGUUAAUUCAAUUGGUUUGCUUUGGACUUGGAGGCCUUGCAGAUUUCACCGUCUGCUCCUCUUAAAUGCAUUAGCUGGAUCUCAGUAUUAUGCUUGGUUCCACUCGGCGUGAUAAGUAUCACUCGCUGAGGACACUGUAAAAGGUGGCCAGGAAAAUACUGAUCGAACCGCUUCUAACGGUCUAUUAACUUAGACAAUUACCCUUAAGUUUGAUCUCAAAUCAGGUAGGACUACCCGCUGAACUUAAGCAUAUCAAUAAGCGGAGGA
RNAcentral lists this unclassified non-coding RNA (413 nucleotides) under soil metagenome. Its description in RNAcentral is "partial contains 5.8S ribosomal RNA, internal transcribed spacer 2, and large subunit ribosomal RNA". The stretch from base 1 to 120 matches the Rfam family "5.8S ribosomal RNA", at positions 35 to 154 of the family's 154-position model. The record is from RNAcentral.